UACAGAGGGGGCAAGCGUUGUUCGGAAUUACUGGGCGUAAAGGGCGCGUAGGCGGCCUUCUAAGUCGAACGUGAAAUCCCCGGGCUCAACCCGGGAACUGCGUCCGAUACUGGAAGGCUUGAAUCCGGGAGAGGGAUGCGGAAUUCCAGGUGUAGCGGUGAAAUGCGUAGAUAUCUGGAGGAACACCGGUGGCGAAGGCGGCGUGCUGGACAGUGACUGACGCUGAGACGCGAAAGCGUGGGGAGCAAACAGG
RNAcentral lists this ribosomal RNA (253 nucleotides) under uncultured bacterium. RNAcentral describes it as "partial 16S ribosomal RNA". It matches the Rfam family "Bacterial small subunit ribosomal RNA", at positions 524 to 776 of the family's 1533-position model. The record is from RNAcentral.